Molecule: long non-coding RNA, 2341 nt
Organism: Aegilops tauschii subsp. strangulata
Lineage: Eukaryota; Viridiplantae; Streptophyta; Magnoliopsida; Poales; Poaceae
Source: RefSeq, a predicted model, not a curated record
UCUAGCUUGGUUCGGAGAGCACUUGUUGGGUUUAAGAUUUGUUUUUUGCUAAAUGUUACGGCCACUAUCAACAUUAAAAAGACAAAAACCUAGAUGUAUUCCAGUUCCAAUAGAAUGCAUACCAGAAUGGCCAUGGACCCUGGAGUUCUUGCAAGAAAUGUUGAAGAUCACCGUAGGCGCGCCUCGUCGGAAAUCCUGAAAUAAAUCCAGGAAUAAUGCGAGCACAGGACUUGAACCCUAGUGGGCUGGGGAUACCACUGUCCCCUCUAACCAUCCAACCACAGGUUGGUUCGCGGCCACUUUCGCUUUUAUCGAGAAUGUAAAAAAAAUUAACAGUUUCAUGAGGAUGAUUCAAUGGUCAUCAAACCUUGGAUAAUAUCAGUACAUUUAUUUUUGAGAUCUACGCCGUAUCUUUCUUUCUUUUUAUUUGUGUGAGAGAAUCUUGCUUCUUUUUAGAAACACUUUCUAUUUUGCUACUUUUUUUAGACAAAAUUUGUUUUUUUUUUUUGAGAACUUUGUAUUUUGCUUUUUUUUAACAGAACAGACGUAUUUUGCUUUUUUUAGGGAUAGACGUAUUUUGCUUGGAGUCAUCGCUAGUCCCUUGGGCCCCGCCGCUAGGCAGUCUCCCAAUGUAACUGUAACCAGCCCACUCACUCACGCGCGGGCCUUCCCAACGUACUCCGGCCCUGUAGCGUGUCGCCGAUGACAGCAUUUCUGGCCGGGUCCUUCGUCGCCUCCUCUCCCCGCCGGCGCAGCAGCCAGAAGAUCCUCCUCGCCCUCCUCCCCAUAUCUGUCGGCGGCGAGCGAGCCCUCGUCCGCUCCGCUUCGGGAGGGUCGCCGUCGUCCUUCCCCUCGACGGCGACGCGUGCAGCGGCUGACCGCGAGGAGGCGCCCGCUGCUCUCGUACUGAUUUGAUGGAACACCGGUGCCAGUCAAUCGCCAUGAUGAAAAGACGCCACACGACCGUCCUCGAUGACCUGCCCGAGUGGAUUGUCAUCGAAGAGAUCCUCAUCUGGUUGCCCCCCAAGGACCUCUUUCGCUGUCGUGCUGUCUGCAAGUUGUGGCGCAGUGCCACCUCCACCGACAAGUUCAUGCUCGACAAUUGCCACCGCCAGCCAUCGCUCCCUGUCAUCAGACAGGAUAUCCCUGGACACAAAGGAGUCAGGUUCGUUGUCUUCCGUGACAAAAGUGUCGGAGCCGAUCAAAAGCUCUGUCCAAUCAUCCAGCACUCUUAAGUUCCAUAAUCUCCUGGGCGCCUGUGAUGGCUUUCUCAUCUUGUCCAGUGAGUCUGAUUUCUGGAUCUGCAACCCGGCCACUCGCAAAUGUGCUAUACUACCGCAACCUCGAGUUCCAUCAUCAUCAGCAAGGGUUCCCCGCAUCUACAUAGCCGGAUUCUACCAGCACCAACCAUCUGGGGAAUACCGGGUGCUCUGGUUCUCACGUGGCUGCCUUCGUGGCUACGUUCUCAGGUUUGGAUCCGACAAGCCGAGAAUCAUCAGUCAGCCAUCUGUGUCAUCGCGUUUGCCGGAAUUCUGGCACCAAGGGGAAUUUGAUUCCUGCUAUGGUUCACAAGUCAACCACCGCGGCAGCCUGCACUGGUUAACAGGAAACUACAUGGAGACUGCCGUGGACAUUAUGGUGUUUGACACAGUUACUGAGACGUUCCGGUAGAUGCGCAGUCCUGGCCAGUUGGGCCGUCGGGUGUCGUUGUUGGAGAUGGACAAGAAGCUUGCUUCAUGCAUCAACAAUGAUGCCAGCAUAGAGAUUUGGGUGAUGCAAGACUAUGAGGCUGAGGUCUGGGCCUUGAAGUACCGGAUUAACUUGUUGAAUACAUCACCACAGUUCAAGUUUAUUUCUAAGAUGGCACUGCUUAACCAGCAUGAGCUGCUGAUCUGUUGUCACACUCCAUCGGCGGGUCCUGAUUAUCUGUUGCAUUGUGACACUGACGGAAAGUUUUUGGGAUAUUACGAGAUGAAAGAGGGAACAUAUUCAACAUACUUCACAAAUCAGUACUUUCAAGAGAGCAUGAUUCCACUUCCGUUCUGUGAGAUGCAAGAAGAAGGUGGUUUGGAUAAGGAGCCUCCAUUCUUCAUAGGGCUAUAAGCUGGUUUGUAAUUCUAGUUGCCAUGUAUGCCUUUGGAGUAUGCAUCCUUUAUGAGCACAAGGUCCUAGUUCUUACUUUAUAGUACUAGUAGAACUGAACAAUGCAUAUGGCUGUUCUAGCUCUUUCUACCAUCGGGUGCCUUUUGUGCUGUCUUGAGCGUCAUCAUGAUAUGUUGGAGUAUCUAUGCUAUACACCUGUGCUACUUCUUCCCCAUUUACUUUCACUUCUCAAUGUUAA